UGUUGCCACGUGUGUCUUCAUUAAAGGAAAACUUGGUAUAAAAUCACCACAGUUCGUCGAGUCAGUAGUAAACAAUUGAAUAUUGCGUGACGUUUCACUACAAACUCCUUCACAAUGAAUGCAGUUCUGAUAUCACUGUUCGUUAUCGUUUUGCUGGUGGUCGUCUCGAUGGCGACUCUGCAGCAGUAUGGUGACGGAGAGCCAGUGGAGGUGGAAAUAAGGUAUGACGAACCAUCUCUCCCAUCACCACCUUCAUCGGGAUGCUCAGGUUGAGUCAAGGAAAACUGUUGAUGUCGGACGUCCCCAAGGAUUUCGGACCCGAUGUUUAUAUGUAUGAUAUGUUAAUGUGUUGUUCUCUUAUGUAAUAAAAUUAUUUGUACAGAAA
Molecule: long non-coding RNA, 385 nt
Organism: Haliotis rufescens (red abalone)
Lineage: Eukaryota; Metazoa; Mollusca; Gastropoda; Lepetellida; Haliotidae
Exons: 3
Source: RefSeq, a predicted model, not a curated record